Molecule: unclassified non-coding RNA, 454 nt
Filed under: Hevea brasiliensis (rubber tree)
Lineage: Eukaryota; Viridiplantae; Streptophyta; Magnoliopsida; Malpighiales; Euphorbiaceae
Source: RNAcentral
AAACAAUUCUGUAGAAAGUGAGAAGAAUCCAAGAGAAUGGAGGCUGCAUGUUUUUUCUUCCCCUGUUGCAUAUUGAAUUUAUAGCUUGACAUGAGAAGUAGAACGGUUUCCUUCAGCUGUUCUUUUAAUUUUCCUAUGAGAGUUCAAAGGAACUUAGCCCCACUAUAGAUUGUUAUUUGUUCAUUUCUUCUAUUCUUUUGUUUCCUUCAACUCUUGAAGCAAUCUAGUGUAAUGAUAAUUUCCAUAUUUCAGUUUCCACUCAGUUUGGCAUGAUAUUUUCCUCUUUAAUUGUUUACUGUUUAAUCAGUUCUCAUCUCCUUGGUUAUUAUGAUUGUCCAAUGUGUAAUUUUAAUUUCAAUUUCAACUCCAAUUCCAAUUCCUAUUUUAUUUUGUUAUCAAUCAAUAAUUAUUUUGCUAUUAAGCGAUUCAUUUGCCUGUUUGAUGUCAAAUUUUC